Long non-coding RNA from Gadus macrocephalus (Pacific cod), 225 nucleotides. RefSeq lists it as uncharacterized. The record is from RefSeq and is a predicted model, not a curated record. The transcript is spliced from 2 exons. NCBI's taxonomy places the organism in Eukaryota, Metazoa, Chordata, Actinopteri, Gadiformes, Gadidae.
GUCAUUAGAUGGCCUUUAGAAAAAUGUUUUUUGGGGGGAAGUGGGGCAGUGUGCUAUAGAGGUGUGCUGUGUGUGUCACUAAUUCACGGAUGGGAUAAAUGCAGAGACCAAAUUCCUUGUAUGUGCCUUCACGGCCUAAGCUUUUGUCCGUAAUGGCAUUUUUGUUCCCCUUGCAUUACUUUGACUUUAAUACUUUAAGUAGUUUUGAAACCAGUACUUCUAUAC